Molecule: ribosomal RNA, 253 nt
Filed under: uncultured bacterium
Lineage: Bacteria
Description: partial 16S ribosomal RNA
Rfam family: Bacterial small subunit ribosomal RNA
Source: RNAcentral
UACGGAGGGUGCAAGCGUUAUCCGGAUUCACUGGGGUUAAAGGGUGCGUAGGCGGAUUAGUAAGUCAGUGGUGAAAUCUCCGGGCUUAACCCGGAAACUGCCAUUGAUACUAUUAGUCUUGAAUACCGUGGAGGUCAGCGGAAUAUGUCAUGUAGCGGUGAAAUGCUUAGAUAUGACAUAGAACACCAAUUGCGAAGGCAGCUGGCUACACGAAUAUUGACACUCAGGCACGAAAGCGUGGGGAUCAAACAGG